Molecule: ribosomal RNA, 275 nt
Filed under: uncultured prokaryote
Description: partial 16S ribosomal RNA
Rfam family: Bacterial small subunit ribosomal RNA
Source: RNAcentral
UACGUAGGAUCCGAGCGUUAUCCGGAUUUAUUGGGUUUAAAGGGUGCGCAGGCGGGGGAUUAAGUCGGCGGUGAAAUUUUGCAGCUCAACUGUAAAAGUGCCUUCGAAACUGGUUUCCUUGAGUGUAGAUGAAGUAGGCGGAAUUUGUGGUGUAGCGGUGAAAUGCAUAGAUAUCGCGAGGAACUCCGAUUGCGCAGGCAGCUUACUAAACUACUACUGACGCUCAGGCACGAAGGCGUGGGGAUCAAACAGGAUUAGAUACCCCCGUAGCCCCU